This is a non-coding RNA of Arachis ipaensis, 1451 nucleotides long. The record is from RefSeq and is a predicted model, not a curated record. NCBI's taxonomy places the organism in Eukaryota, Viridiplantae, Streptophyta, Magnoliopsida, Fabales, Fabaceae.
ACACUUCUGUCGCUCAUUCCUUCUCAGCUGCAGAACAACUCGAUCGUGUCUCUCAUACUAUAAGUAUCACUGCUACUCUCAUUCCUCGUCUUCACACAUUUGCGAUCGCACCCUUUCUUUAAUUCUCAUCCUUCAAUCAUCUUCUUUCACUAGUUAGGGUUCUUUUUCCAAUCUCUGUUUCUCUUUCUUAUUUACUGUUUAUUGUUCCGAUUCAUCUUUAUAUUCUGGAAAGCAAGGUCUUGUAUGUUACGCAUUCAUGGAUUAUCUCUCAGUUAUUUUUGUUUGAUUAUUGAUAUGUUCUUCAUCAACAAUUCUGUUGUCUCUGAAUUUUGCAGAACAACACACAAUUUCACUCUCUCGCUCCAUGUCGAUGGUGGAAUCAAUUUUAGAAGAACAUAAUAUUGAUGUAUCAUUUCUGCUUACAUGAAACAUGAGAACCAAAAAAAAAGGUUGCCAUGCUUAAUAAGCUGGAAAAUAGAGGUUCUAACUCUGAGGCAUUAGAGAAAGUAAAAGCGGCCGUUAGUCAUUUACAUACAAGAUACAUUGCAGAUAUGCAAGCCUUGGAUUCCACAGUCUCAGAGAUUAGCCGGCUACGUGAUCAACAGUUGUACCCAAGACUUGUUCAGCUUGUUGAUAGGAGGAUUUGAACUUUGAAAAUGAACCGUAUAAAACUGAUGCCAGUUUAUUCUGGUCACUAAUGCUAUUUGAACUUUGAAAAUAAAUCUUAGACAAUUGUAUCUGUCAUAUUUGUAUUGUUUUAUUUUAGGAAGUGCAUCUUUCUUAAGUAAAAGUGAUAUAACUCAAAUCUGUGUCUUCACAAACUGAUGAACUCAGUCAAAAACUCUGCUGAUAUUGAUGGUUUUGUUGAACUAUAGGAUAGCAUCUUUCUCUAAGUCCUCAGAGUUAGAACCUCUAUUUUUCAGCUUAUUAAGCAUGGCAACCUUUUUCAGUACUCAUAUUUCAUUAUUUCACCGGCCUAUCAAAUAUUUUGCAGUGAAAUUCAGAGAAGACAAACGGAAAUUUGUAACAUAAUUUGAUACAUACGGAAAUCUUCUUGCAGAAACUGUGUGACAACUCAUAAUAUAUAGCUAAUAAUAAAAAAAAUAAAAUUCCCAUACGUUAACUUCAUCAUAAAGUUUCUUUUCCCAUUCUAGCAAAUUUGCGCCCACUUUAAUGAGAUUUUGCACACUUUACUCAGCACAGUUUGCAUCCAAUGUAAUGAAUUUUUUGCACACAUGAAUCAGAUUGUUUGCACUCAUUUUAAUGAGAUUUUGCACACUUUUCUUAGCACACUUUGCACCCAUCUUAAUGAAAUUUUUCACACAUAAAUUAGACAGUUUGCACCCACUUUAAUUAGAUUUUGCACACCUCACUCGGCACAAUUUGCAUCCACUUUAAUAAAAUUUUGUACACAUGAAUCAAAUAGUUUGCACCACUUUAAUGAGAUUUUG